AGCCUGAUGCCACGUCUCCAGUAGCUGUGGGCAUUGACUGGUGAUGCUAUGAUUAGGCCUAUACAGAGUGGUGUCCACAUUUCACAUGUUUAUAGGAACCUGUGGGCUGUAUCUCAAUCGGUCCACAGAGCCGGUAUCUGUGAUUACAGUU
RNAcentral lists this small nucleolar RNA (151 nucleotides) under Sorghum bicolor (sorghum). RNAcentral describes it as "snoRNA snoR2". It matches the Rfam family "Small nucleolar RNA snoR2/U65". Lineage: Eukaryota; Viridiplantae; Streptophyta; Magnoliopsida; Poales; Poaceae. The record is from Rfam by way of RNAcentral.